AACGCACAUUGCGCCCCUUGGUAUUCCAUGGGGCAUGCCUGUUCGAGCGUCAUUUGUACCCUCAAGCUUUGCUUGGUGUUGGGCGUCUUUGUCUCUCACGAGACUCGCCUUAAAAUGAUUGGCAGCCGACCUACUGGUUUCGGAGCGCAGCACAAUUCUUGCACUUUGAAUCAGCCUUGGUUGAGCAUCCAUCAAGACCACAUUUUUUUCAACUUUUGACCUCGGAUCAGGUAGGGAUACCCGCUGAACUUAA
RNAcentral lists this unclassified non-coding RNA (253 nucleotides) under uncultured Stemphylium. RNAcentral's name for it is "sequence contains ITS2". The record is from RNAcentral. Lineage: Eukaryota; Fungi; Ascomycota; Dothideomycetes; Pleosporales; Pleosporaceae.